RNAcentral lists this ribosomal RNA (279 nucleotides) under uncultured bacterium. RNAcentral describes it as "partial 16S ribosomal RNA". It matches the Rfam family "Bacterial small subunit ribosomal RNA", at positions 506 to 784 of the family's 1533-position model. The record is from RNAcentral.
UGCCAGCCGCCGCGGUAAUACGGAGGGUGCAAGCGUUGCUUGGAAUUACUGGGCGUAAAGGGUAGGUAGGUGGUCUCGUUUGUCUGGGGUGAAAUCCCUGAGCUUAACUCAGGAACUGCCUUGGAAACGGCGAGACUGGAGUACUGGAGGGGAUAGCGGAAUUCCCGGUGUAGCGGUGAAAUGCGUAGAGAUCGGGAGGAACAUCUGAUGCGAAGGCGGCUAUCUGGACAGUUACUGACACUAAACUACGAAAGCGUGGGGAGCAAACAGGAUUAGAUA